AGUGAACGCUGGCGGUAGGCCUAACACAUGCAAGUCGAACGGCAGCACAGUAAGAGCUUGCUCUUACGGGUGGCGAGUGGCGGACGGGUGAGGAAUACAUCGGAAUCUACUUUUUCGUGGGGGAUAACGUAGGGAAACUUACGCUAAUACCGCAUACGACCUACGGGUGAAAGCAGGGGAUCUUCGGACCUUGCGCGAUUGAAUGAGCCGAUGUCGGAUUAGCUAGUUGGCGGGGUAAAGGCCCACCAAGGCGACGAUCCGUAGCUGGUCUGAGAGGAUGAUCGCCCCACUUGAACCUAGACACCGUCCCGACCCCUACGGGAGGCAGCAGGUGGGAAUAUUGGACAAUGGGCCCAAGCCUUAUCCAGGCCUACCGCGGUGGUGAAGGAGGCCUUCGGGUUGUAAAGCCCUUUUUUUUGGAAAAAAAAGCAGCCGGUUAAUUCCCCGCUUUUCUGACGGUUCCCAAAGAAUAAGAACCCGCUUACUUCGUU
Molecule: ribosomal RNA, 491 nt
Filed under: uncultured bacterium
Lineage: Bacteria
Description: partial 16S ribosomal RNA
Rfam family: Bacterial small subunit ribosomal RNA
Source: RNAcentral